RNAcentral lists this ribosomal RNA (447 nucleotides) under uncultured bacterium. Its description in RNAcentral is "bacterial SSU rRNA". It matches the Rfam family "Bacterial small subunit ribosomal RNA", at positions 355 to 825 of the family's 1533-position model. The record is from RNAcentral.
UGGGGAAUAUUGCACAAUGGGCGAAAGCCUGAUGCAGCAAUGCCGCGUGUGUGAAGAAGGCCUGCGGGUUGUAAAGCACUUUCGGUAGGGAAGAUAAUGACGGUACCUACAGAAGAAGCACCGGCUAACUCCGUGCCAGCAGCCGCGGUAAUACGGAGGGUGCGAGCGUUAAUCGGAAUUACUGGGCGUAAAGCGCGCGUAGGCGGCUUUGUAGGUCGGAUGUGAAAGCCCCGGGCUUAACCUGGGAAUUGCAUUCGAUACUGCAUAGCUAGAGUAUGGGAGAGGGAUGUAGAAUUCCAGGUGUAGCGGUGAAAUGCGUAGAUAUCUGGAGGAAUACCGGUGGCGAAGGCGGCAUCCUGGACCAUUACUGACGCUGAGGCGCGAAAGCUAGGGGAGCAAACGGGAUUAGAUACCCCCGUAGUCCCUGAGCGGGCUGGCAAGGCGCAU